CGGUAAUACGUAGGUGGCAAGCGUUGUCCGGAUUUAUUGGGCGUAAAGGGAGCGCAGGCGGUGAUUUAAGUCUGAUGUGAAAGCCCACGGCUCAACCGUGGAAUGGCAUUGGAAACUGGGUCACUUGAGUGCAGAAGAGGAAAGCGGAAUUCCACGUGUAGCGGUGAAAUGCGUAGAUAUAUGGAGGAACACCAGUGGCGAAGGCGGCUUUCUGGACUGCAACUGACACUGAGGCACGAAAGCGUGGGUAGCAAACAGGAUUAGAUACCCUGGUAGUCCACGCCGUAAACGAUGAGUACUAGGUGUCGGGGUUACCCCCCUCGGUGCCGCAGUAACGCAUUAAGUACUCCCCCUGGGAGUACNCNCCCAGUGUGAACUCAAGGAUUGACGGGGACCNCACANUAGCGGACAUGUGGUUUNUNC
Molecule: ribosomal RNA, 423 nt
Filed under: uncultured bacterium
Lineage: Bacteria
Description: bacterial SSU rRNA
Rfam family: Bacterial small subunit ribosomal RNA
Source: RNAcentral